RNAcentral lists this ribosomal RNA (256 nucleotides) under uncultured bacterium. RNAcentral's name for it is "partial 16S ribosomal RNA". It matches the Rfam family "Bacterial small subunit ribosomal RNA", at positions 524 to 776 of the family's 1533-position model. The record is from RNAcentral.
UACGUAGGGGCGCAAGCGUUGUCCGGAAUUAUUGGGCGUAAAGAGCUCGUAGGCGGUCUGUCACGUCGGAUGUGGAAAGCCCCGGGGCUUAACCCCGGGUCUGCAUUCGAUACGGGCAGACUAGAGUGUGGUAGGGGAGAUCGGAAUUCCUGGUGUAGCGGUGAAAUGCGUAGAUAUCUGGAGGAACACCGGUGGCGAAGGCGGCAUCCUGGACCAAUUCUGACGCUGAGGAGCGAAAGCCAGGGGAGCAAACGGG